GCGCCGCCGGGGCGGCGGGCGAACCGCCGAACGCCUUCAGCGCGUUUGCCAGCUCUUCGGCGUUCGUCGCGGCGGCCAGCGUU
This 83-nucleotide transfer RNA is filed under the name bioreactor metagenome. RNAcentral's name for it is "tRNA-Sec". The record is from RNAcentral.